RNAcentral lists this ribosomal RNA (269 nucleotides) under uncultured Spirochaeta sp. RNAcentral's name for it is "partial 16S ribosomal RNA". It matches the Rfam family "Bacterial small subunit ribosomal RNA", at positions 1114 to 1382 of the family's 1533-position model. The record is from RNAcentral. Lineage: Bacteria; Pseudomonadati; Spirochaetota; Spirochaetia; Spirochaetales; Spirochaetaceae.
GUUGCCACCACGAGAGGUGGGGACGUCAGGCGGGACCGCCGGUGACAAACCGGAGGAAGGUGGGGACGACGUCAAGUCAUCAUGGCCCUUAUGUCCUGGGCUACGCACGUGCUACAAUGGCCGGUACAGAGCGCAGCGAGGCCGCGAGGCGGAGCGAAUCGCUUAAAGCCGGUCCCAGUACGGAUUGGAGUCUGCAACCCGACUCCAUGAAGUUGGAAUCGCUAGUAAUCGCGCAUCAGCAUGGCGCGGUGAAUACGUUCCCGGGCCUU